AGUUGUUACAAGUGAUGUCUUAUAUUUUUCUGAUCUUGCCUUGCAAGUGGUACUCUUUAGAAUAACUAUUCUCCUUUAGUUCUAAUUUUUUAGUAGGCAAUCUGUUAUGCCAUGAGAGGCAUUUGAUGUUGUUGAGAGGAUUUUUCUUUUAAUUGUUAAUGUCCGGUAGUUUAAAUGCCUGGUUUAUAGUUGUCUGUUGCCUUUUUGGCUAGUUUCUCUCCCUCCUUCCCUCCCUCCCUCCUCCCCCCACCUCUCUAAAACUUUAUCUGCAUUCGGACAUGCAUGCACAUAUGCAAGCAGGUGCACACACACACAUGGAUGUGAACUUUAGUUGCUUGUGAUAAUGAAGUUGCAUGAUUCAUAAGUUCCUGCAUUUCAGUGGAAUACAUGUAUGUGCAGAUAUUUGACUUGGUUAUUGUUGUUGAGUUAUUCAACUUGUUCUCUCACAUGGGGGUGAUUUUACAUCACAAAUUGUUUUCCUUUCUUAAAUCUGCUUGUUCUCUCCCAGCAACUUCUUGUUUACAUGUUUCUGUGUAUGUUAUCAUCCUUAUGUAUAUUGUUGUUGCCUUUUCCUUACUGCUAUUCCUAAAUUCAUGUCUUGUUACAGAUUUGACAAGUUAAGGAAUCAAACAAAUAUCUCUGAAUAAAAUAUGAUAGUGCAAGAAUCUCUGCUGCUCUUCCCUUUAAACCCUAUAUGUGACAAUAAUCUGCGGCAUGGGUUUUCCUGAUAUCUGGACAAGGAGUACUUGGUGUCAUUUUUUUGGUUUCCUCCUACUUUUUUUGAUAGUUUAUCUUUGAAAUUUGUGGUUCUUGGGACUUUAUGGUUACCGAAGACCUAUCUUUGUUAAAUGAGUUUGGAGAAUGAUCUUGUCGAUUUGACUCCUGUGAUAGCAUUUCGGGUUCUCCAAGGUGUUCAUGCUUCCAAAGGAUGAUGAUGAUGAUGUCUACUCCUUUGCCUAAUAUAGAAGGGCAGCAGAAAAAGGCCUUUUAGGAGGUUACUUUCAUUAGAAUGUAUGUUGGUGGUGGGAAUUCUUUAUGAUAUUUUUUGUGAUUAAGGAUAUUUUCUAUAACAUAGUUAAUUUGUUAUAAUUAUGUUUCAUCUAAAUUUUAAUAUAUUCGAUGCAUUUAACAUAUUUCUCGCAAGAUGAAUAGAGAACCGAAUCUAUUGAUCUAGCAAGACUUUGCUUUUUAAUAUUUUGGAAUAAAAAUCAGAUUCUUAAUAUUUUUUAUAGGGAACUUUGAAUGACUAGCGAAAACAAAAGUUCUG
This 1267-nucleotide long non-coding RNA is filed under the name Phoenix dactylifera (date palm). Its description in RNAcentral is "long non-coding RNA (PDAC_LNC014744)". The record is from RNAcentral. Lineage: Eukaryota; Viridiplantae; Streptophyta; Magnoliopsida; Arecales; Arecaceae.